GACGAACGCUGGCGGCGUGCCUAACACAUGCAAGUCAACUUGACUGAAGGAGCAAUCUGACAGUAGAGUGGCGCAAGGGUGCGUAACGCGUAAGUAACUUGCCCCAAGGUAAGGAAUAACGUCGAGAAAUCGGCGCUAAUACCUCAUAAUGCAGCGGAUCCGCAUGGAUAUGUUGUUAAAAGGUUUACCGCCUUGGGAUAGGCUUGCGUCUGAUUAGCUAGUUGGUGUGGUAACGGCACACCAAGGCUACGAUCAGUAACUGGUCUGAGAGGAUGAUCAGUCACACUGGAACUGAGACACGGUCCAGACUCCUACGGGAGGCAGCAGUGAGGAAUAUUGGGCAAUGCUCGAAAGAGUGACCCAGCAACGCCGCGUGGAGGAUGAAGGUAUUCUAUAUCGUAAACUCCUGUGAGAGCAGACGAAAGACAGAUUAUAAUCUGGAUGACUGUAUGCUCAGAGGAAGCCCCGGCUAACUACGU
This 479-nucleotide ribosomal RNA is filed under the name uncultured bacterium. RNAcentral describes it as "bacterial SSU rRNA". It matches the Rfam family "Bacterial small subunit ribosomal RNA", at positions 28 to 506 of the family's 1533-position model. The record is from RNAcentral.